GUGUCAGCCGCCGCGGUAAUACGUAGGGGGCAAGCGUUGUCCGGAAUCAUUGGGCGUAAAGCGCGCGUAGGCUGCCCGGUCAGUCCGCUGUGAAAGUCAGGGGCUCAACCCUUGAAUGCCAGUGGAUACUGCCGGGCUAGAGUCCGGAAGAGGCGAGUGGAAUUCCUGGUGUAGCGGUGGAAUGCGCAGAUAUCAGGAGGAACACCAAUAGCGAAGGCAGCUCGCUGGGACGGUACUGACGCUGAGGCGCGAAAGCGUGGGGAGCGAACAGGAUUAGAUACCCCCGUAGUCC
Molecule: ribosomal RNA, 292 nt
Filed under: uncultured bacterium
Lineage: Bacteria
Description: partial 16S ribosomal RNA
Rfam family: Bacterial small subunit ribosomal RNA
Source: RNAcentral